Molecule: long non-coding RNA, 1743 nt
Organism: Dermacentor albipictus
Lineage: Eukaryota; Metazoa; Arthropoda; Arachnida; Ixodida; Ixodidae
Source: RefSeq, a predicted model, not a curated record
UUUGCAGGACUGUUGCGGAGCAGGCAGGAAGCUGUCAUUCGUGCUUAACUGAAGCAGUUCAUGUAUUUGUUGCAAACUGAGAUCUCCGUGACAGGCACAAAGCGUCUGCGAUAUAGCCAUGGAGAAGCGGCCAGAGACAGAGACCGAGGAGUGCAUAGUGAAAGCCGAGCCGAUCCAAGACGUGCGCCUGGUCGAGCUCUUCCCUUAGGUUCGAGAAGAUGGCUCCCAGAAGCACGGAAAUGAAGACGGCAAGCAACAGACGACAAAUUCCUGAGCGGCGUGCUCACCGGAAGUGGCGAUGAUGCAGAGGAUGUCACCACCACGGACUUCGAAUGGCAGUCCCUCGUCAAGGAGCAACUCAACUCGCGGACAACGGAACAGCCGCUGACCCAGGCUGGAGAGAUUCAGCUCGGACGUCAGGUCUCGAACCCGCCUCAGAGUGGCCAUACUUAUCGUCGCGAAGACGUGGUCAUUGGCUCCAUUGCCGAGUAUUCCGACAAACGCGUGGUUACGCACACACAUAAAUAAAGACUCGCAACACCGCUGGCCAAAAGGCUAGAAGACAACGACGAUGGCUACAUGUAACGCCCAUGACGUGCAAGACGACUCAUACUUAGUGUACCACGAGUCGAGCUGACUAGUGUUUGCGAGGUAGGUCGUGGGUAGCCGAAAUAGAGUACCGAUAACACGAUGGCCUACCGAGUUAUCGAGUUCGUAAAAGCAGAGGAAAGAAGAGUGAAAUUUAUAAGCACGGUUCCUUGGACUAGUUGGUUAUAUACAUGGAUUGAGGUCACAGCGAUCGUCCUGUUUAGCUCUUAUCAGUGUUUUCCAGCUCUAACUUGUAACUGAGCGUUUAUUUCCAGAAAACCACCUCGUAUGUAGGGCCGCGCACCGAAAUAGUCCCAAUCAUCCCACAUGGAAGGAUGAAAGAUGCGGGAGCAGCAUUCAGCUCGGUCUACGCUAGUGAAGAGAGCAAUGGCUAACCUGUCUUCACAACGCGCUCAAGCAAUCACGCUCCCAUAAUAUUUCUAGAAGUUUUGACAAACAAAAAGCGUGUAUGGAACUAUGGUUGCCCUGACCAUGUAUCAGUAGCCGGAAGUGCGUGAAACAUAAUAGCAUGCACAUGAGCAGUAAUAAUAUGUAAAAGGUCGUUGUGCCUAUUUGCAUAUUUGCGUACUAAAGAAGCUUGGACGAGAGGUUAAAGUAGAUGCAGUAAUUUUUGCUCCGGAGAAAUUGCUCAGCUUAUACAGCGCCACUGAUCCGUCUGUUUAAAAAAAAAGCGCAGAUGGGAAAAAAUCUACCCCCUCUAGUGCCAUGCGUAAAGAAUGUCUAUUGCAUUCGGUUAUCAUGCAGGAAGUUUUACACUGGACAGCCUGAAUGAUAGGUUAAGAGAACGUAACCGGACAUUGCAUCGAUGCUAAGAUGGUUGUCUGUGCAGUCCGGUCAUUUCGGGCGUAAACUCGCGUUUACGAAGAGCUCCGUUUUAUUUGAACUCAAAGUUAGGCGAGAAGUUGACGCUGCUUUGAUAGCGAGGACCUCUGAUAGCUGCAUUAGUUGCCCUUCACUUGCCCUGACUGCAAGUCAAUUUGCGUUCCUGCAAGCGGGCGAUUUUCGUGAGCGGUGGUUGGGACCUUUUCGGUGUGCGGACCUACGACUACGUUGCUUUUAUGGAAAUAAACGCUCUCUUGAAAGUUGGCGCUCGUAGUGUCUCGCUCUUGUCUGUGUGUUCCAGUGCCGUGACCC